AUUGAACGCUGGCGGCAGGCCUAACACAUGCAAGUCGAGCGGAGCGGCGGACGGGUGCGUAAUGCCUAGGAAUCUGCCUGGUAGUGGGGGAUGACGUCCGGAAACGGACGCUAAUACCGAAUACUAUCGCCUUCGGCUGGGUCGGAUUAGCUUGUGGGAGGGGUAAAGGCCUACCAAGGCGACGAUCCGUAACUGGUCUGAGAGGAUGAUCAGUCACACUGGAACUGAGACACGGUCCAGACUCCUACGGGAGGCAGCAGUGGGGAAUAUUGGACAAUGGGCGAAAGCCUGAUCCAGCCAUGCCGCGUGUGUGAAGAAGGUCUUCGGAUUGUAAAGCACUUUAAGUUGGGAGGCGUUACCAACAGAAUAAGCACCGGCUAACUCCGUGCCAGCAGCCGCGGUAAUAC
This 407-nucleotide ribosomal RNA is filed under the name uncultured bacterium. Its description in RNAcentral is "partial 16S ribosomal RNA". It matches the Rfam family "Bacterial small subunit ribosomal RNA", at positions 30 to 526 of the family's 1533-position model. The record is from RNAcentral.